AAAAGAUUAGUUAAAUGAUAACAUCAGAGUGUCAAUCUGAAAUAAUUGAUAAUCAAUAUCUUUUG
Molecule: transfer RNA, 65 nt
Filed under: Mnais tenuis
Lineage: Eukaryota; Metazoa; Arthropoda; Insecta; Odonata; Calopterygidae
Description: tRNA-Asp
Source: RNAcentral